This 250-nucleotide unclassified non-coding RNA is filed under the name plant metagenome. RNAcentral's name for it is "partial contains small subunit ribosomal RNA, internal transcribed spacer 1, and 5.8S ribosomal RNA". The stretch from base 1 to 53 matches the Rfam family "Eukaryotic small subunit ribosomal RNA", at positions 1778 to 1831 of the family's 1831-position model. The record is from RNAcentral.
GGAAGUAAAAGUCGUACAAGGUCUCCGUAGGUGAACCUGCGGAGGGAUCAUUACAGAGUUCAUGCCCUACCGGGUAGAUCUCCCACCCUAUGUUAUUAUUACUUUGUUGCUUUGGCGGGCCGUUAGGCUCCGGCCCGACUACCGGCCCCGGCUGGUAAGCGCCCGCCAGAGGACCCAAAACCCUGAAUAUUAGUGUCGUCUGAGUACAAUAUAAUAGUUAAAACUUUCAACAACGGAUCUCUUGGUUCUG